AAUCUAUCAAACCACACCUUUGUGAACCAACCAUGUUGGCCAGUCUUGCAUGCCUUUGGGUGUGUAAUAAUCGGGUUUUUGGGGUUUAUUAUAUUAUUAAACCCUGACUGCCCGGCUGUCGUUGCAGGGUCUUUUCCCUCAGCGGCAUCGGCCUCUUUGCUAACCCAACACCAAACAUAACCUAAAUAAAAUUCGGACGCAUGGCUUAGAGCUAUGUGUUCACACAACCAAAGACAACUCUCAACAACGGAUAUCUUGGCUCUCAGAUCGAUGAAGAACGCAGCGAAAUGCGAUACGUAGUGUGAAUUGCAGAAAUACGUGAAUCAUCGAAUCUUUGAACGCAAAUUGCGCUCGAGGCUUCGGCCAAGAGCAUGUCUGCCUCAGCGUCGGGUAAAAACUCGCUCUACAUACCCUUUGGGGUGUGUGCAAGAGCGGACCUGACUGUCUCAGCACACGCAAGUGUGCUGGGUCGGUUGAAGUUUGCAGCUGUUGGUACAUGGACCCGCUAAAUGGGCCUCUACUGGGUAGGCAACUCGUUUGCUCUAUGCUUUAGUAGACGGCUUAGGAUCUAUGUCAUGCCAACACAAAGCAGGAAUGCGCCUUUUGUGUGCAUUAAACCUUUUNUCGACCUGAGCUCAGGCAAGA
Molecule: small RNA, 645 nt
Filed under: Pandorina morum
Lineage: Eukaryota; Viridiplantae; Chlorophyta; Chlorophyceae; Chlamydomonadales; Volvocaceae
Description: eukaryotic LSU rRNA
Rfam family: 5.8S ribosomal RNA (bases 236-389)
Source: RNAcentral